RNAcentral lists this ribosomal RNA (769 nucleotides) under Escherichia coli. RNAcentral's name for it is "partial 23S ribosomal RNA". It matches the Rfam family "Bacterial large subunit ribosomal RNA", at positions 2180 to 2925 of the family's 2925-position model. The record is from RNAcentral. Lineage: Bacteria; Pseudomonadati; Pseudomonadota; Gammaproteobacteria; Enterobacterales; Enterobacteriaceae.
AUGGAGCCGACCUUGAAAUACCACCCUUUAAUGUUUGAUGUUCUAACGUUGACCCGUAAUCCGGGUUGCGGACAGUGUCUGGUGGGUAGUUUGACUGGGGCGGUCUCCUCCUAAAGAGUAACGGAGGAGCACGAAGGUUGGCUAAUCCUGGUCGGACAUCAGGAGGUUAGUGCAAUGGCAUAAGCCAGCUUGACUGCGAGCGUGACGGCGCGAGCAGGUGCGAAAGCAGGUCAUAGUGAUCCGGUGGUUCUGAAUGGAAGGGCCAUCGCUCAACGGAUAAAAGGUACUCCGGGGAUAACAGGCUGAUACCGCCCAAGAGUUCAUAUCGACGGCGGUGUUUGGCACCUCGAUGUCGGCUCAUCACAUCCUGGGGCUGAAGUAGGUCCCAAGGGUAUGGCUGUUCGCCAUUUAAAGUGGUACGCGAGCUGGGUUUAGAACGUCGUGAGACAGUUCGGUCCCUAUCUGCCGUGGGCGCUGGAGAACUGAGGGGGGCUGCUCCUAGUACGAGAGGACCGGAGUGGACGCAUCACUGGUGUUCGGGUUGUCAUGCCAAUGGCACUGCCCGGUAGCUAAAUGCGGAAGAGAUAAGUGCUGAAAGCAUCUAAGCACGAAACUUGCCCCGAGAUGAGUUCUCCCUGACUCCUUGAGAGUCCUGAAGGAACGUUGAAGACGACGACGUUGAUAGGCCGGGUGUGUAAGCGCAGUGAUGCGUUGAGCUAACCGGUACUAAUGAACCGUGAGGCUUAACCUUACAACGCCGAAGGUGUUU